GGAGCUGCUGAACAUGAAAGGCAUCAGUGAAAAGUGAAACCAAAGCUGACAAAAUCCCAGUAAGGAUGUUCUGGAACUUUAACCCCAGAUAUUCCACUGGUUUAUCUCUGCUGGCUGAAAAUGUUGUGGUGAAUUUGGAAGGUCUCCAAAGGGCAGUAAAGGUGAUUGGAGUUGUGACAUGACUUGUGAUGGGAAAAGGCAAAAUGCACCAGGACAGGACUGAACUGAAGGGGAGGAUAUUUCCAUAAAACACAGAAAAGGGAUGUUGGAGAUUUUUCUUGGAGCAAAGUUUCAGCUCUGUGCAGAGGUAUCAACUCGUGUAAGGUCUGUGAAAUAUGCAUGGAAUAAUACAGGCACCUCUCCACGAGGCAGGAAAUAUUAAUUACUGGGGGUUAAUGAAUGGCAUGAGCUCUCCUGACACUGCUCAGUUGGGUUUUCCCUCAGGCUGAGGCAGCCAAACUGUUCCCAUGGGCUUCACCACGGCCACAGAAUUCCACCAGCAAUGGUCAGAGCUCAUCCAGAUCACCACUGGCUCCAAAGAGCUGGACAAGCUGCUUCAAGGAGAAACAGAAACAGGAUCCAUAAUGGAGUUAUUUGGGGAAUUCCAUACUGGGAAGAAGCAGCUGUGUCCCAGCCUGGCAGUCACUGGUCAGCUCGCCAUACACCAUGGGAGCAGCGAGGGAAAAGCCACAUCCGUGGGCACAGAGGGGACCUUCCACCCAGAGCAGCUCCUGGCCAUGGCUGAAAGGUCAGUGAGGGGAACACAGGAGUAGAUGGACUCACAGCUCAGCUGGAAAUCGUUUUCCACAGGUCCUGGAGGUUGGUCUGGCAGGUGUUCCCUUUGGAAAGCUGUGGUGUUGCCUCUCCUCUCCCAUCUUUGCUGCUCUCUCCCCACAACUCCGGUGUCAUUGUCCCUCAGCAUGAGGAAUGGUCUCUGCCAGGGCUUUAACAGUGACCGCCAGGCCCAGCUGCUGGAUCAGGCUAAAGACUGGAACUCCUUUUCCUCCCCUGCAUCCCCAGGAUGCCCUGUGUCCCUGAGAGGCUCCUUUCCUGUGGCACCUCAGGGAUGCUCCCCAGGGCAGCAGGUGGAGGAAGCUGUGGCUUCCAUUUCCAUCUACUUUUCUGCAUUUCAAUAAUUCUCUGGUAACCUGCUUUAAUGAAAAGGCUCAGGAGGAUAUUGGUGACAUGCCAGG
Ficedula albicollis (Collared flycatcher) is the source of this 1193-nucleotide RNA transcript. It is a transcript of the gene named DNA repair protein RAD51 homolog 1-like, with no coding region annotated. The transcript is spliced from 4 exons. The record is from RefSeq and is a predicted model, not a curated record. Lineage: Eukaryota; Metazoa; Chordata; Aves; Passeriformes; Muscicapidae.